RNAcentral lists this long non-coding RNA (608 nucleotides) under Erythranthe guttata (spotted monkey flower). RNAcentral's name for it is "long non-coding RNA (EGUT_LNC002977)". Lineage: Eukaryota; Viridiplantae; Streptophyta; Magnoliopsida; Lamiales; Phrymaceae. The record is from RNAcentral.
AAAGAAUGGCCCUAUAUCCACCAAACCCCAAGUCAUUAAAACCCAUAAAACCAACAAACUCAUACAGCCCAAUCGGCCCAUAAGGCUAGUAGGCCCACUAACGAACUAUUAUUAUUUUUAUAUUUGGAAAGAUUAGGGAAGGGGACUCUCAGAAAUAGAAGACCUUAUGGCUAUGUUUGUUACCGUUUUCAAAUUCUUUCCACAUUUCCCCAAAAUGAAAAUUAUUUGUCUACACUAUUUUAAAAAACUUUCCCCAAAACAAAUUCAAAUAUUUCUCUCUCUAACAAACAUGAUUUGACCGCUACAGUGAAAAUUGUCUUCACUAAAAUACAAAAUCAAAUCACUUUAUCUUUUAAAUUCUUCUUCCAAAAUACCUUUUUCCAACACCUUUCAGACAUGAUUUGACUUGCUACAGUACAAAUUGUCUCCUCCCAAAACACAAACAAACUUUAUUUAAUUUUCAAAUUCUUCUCCCAAAACAUAUUUCCCCAAAAUAAAAUGGAAAUUGAAGCCCGAAAGCUUACCAAACACAGCCUUAUCUAUCUCGUUCACAACAACUUGCAAUAAAGACUAAUUCGAAUUGAAACGAUCGUCACUCCGCGCCAUCG